GGGCGGGACACGUGGUAUCCUGUCUGAAUAUGGGGGGACCAUCCUCCAAGGCUAAAUACUCCUGACUGACCGAUAGUGAACCAGUACCGUGAGGGAAAGGCGAAAAGAACCCCGGCGAGGGGAGUGAAAAAGAACCUGAAACCGUGUACGUACAAGCAGUGGGAGCCUCUUUAUGGGGUGACUGCGUACCUUUUGUAUAAUGGGUCAGCGACUUAUAUUCUGUAGCAAGGUUAACCGAAUAGGGGAGCCGAAGGGAAACCGAGUCUUAACUGGGCGUUAAGUUGCAGGGUAUAGACCCGAAACCCGGUGAUCUAGCCAUGGGCAGGUUGAAGGUUGGGUAACACUAACUGGAGGACCGAACCGACUAAUGUUGAAAAAUUAGCGGAUGACUUGUGGCUGGGGGUGAAAGGCCAAUCAAACCGGGAGAUAGCUGGUUCUCCCCGAAAGCUAUUUAGGUAGCGCCUCGUGAAUUCAUCUCCGGGGGUAGAGCACUGUUUCGGCAAGGGGGUCAUCCCGACUUACCAACCCGAUGCAAACUGCGAAUACCGGAGAAUGUUAUCACGGGAGACACACGGCGGGUGCUAACGUCCGUCGUGAAGAGGGAAACAACCCAGACCGCCAGCUAAGGUCCCAAAGUCAUGGUUAAGUGGGAAACGAUGUGGGAAGGCCCAGACAGCCAGGAUGUUGGCUUAGAAGCAGCCAUCAUUUAAAGAAAGCGUAAUAGCUCACUGGUCGAGUCGGCCUGCGCGGAAGAUGUAACGGGGCUAAACCAUGCACCGAAGCUGCGGCAGCGACACUAUGUGUUGUUGGGUAGGGGAGCGUUCUGUAAGCCUGUGAAGGUGUGCUGUGAGGUAUGCUGGAGGUAUCAGAAGUGCGAAUGCUGACAUAAGUAACGAUAAAGCGGGUGAAAAGCCCGCUCGCCGGAAGACCAAGGGUUCCUGUCCAACGUUAAUCGGGGCAGGGUGAGUCGACCCCUAAGGCGAGGCCGAAAGGCGUAGUCGAUGGGAAACAGGUUAAUAUUCCUGUACUUGGUGUUACUGCGAAGGGGGGACGGAGAAGGCUAUGUUGGCCGGGCGACGGUUGUCCCGGUUUAAGCGUGUAGGCUGGUUUUCCAGGCAAAUCCGGAAAAUCAAGGCUGAGGCGUGAUGACGAGGCACUACGGUGCUGAAGCAACAAAUGCCCUGCUUCCAGGAAAAGCCUCUAAGCAUCAGGUAACAUCAAAUCGUACCCCAAACCGACACAGGUGGUCAGGUAGAGAAUACCAAGGCGCUUGAGAGAACUCGGGUGAAGGAACUAGGCAAAAUGGUGCCGUAACUUCGGGAGAAGGCACGCUGAUAUGUAGGUGAAGUCCCUUGCGGAUGGAGCUGAAAUCAGUCGAAGAUACCAGCUGGCUGCAACUGUUUAUUAAAAACACAGCACUGUGCAAACACGAAAGUGGACGUAUACGGUGUGACGCCUGCCCGGUGCCGGAAGGUUAAUUGAUGGGGUUAGCGGUAACGCGAAGCUCUUGAUCGAAGCCCCGGUAAACGGCGGCCGUAACUAUAACGGUCCUAAGGUAGCGAAAUUCCUUGUCGGGUAAGUUCCGACCUGCACGAAUGGCGUAAUGAUGGCCAGGCUGUCUCCACCCGAGACUCAGUGAAAUUGAACUCGCUGUGAAGAUGCAGUGUACCCGCGGCAAGACGGAAAGACCCCGUGAACCUUUACUAUAGCUUGACACUGAACAUUGAGCCUUGAUGUGUAGGAUAGGUGGGAGGCUUUGAAGUGUGGACGCCAGUCUGCAUGGAGCCGACCUUGAAAUACCACCCUUUAAUGUUUGAUGUUCUAACGUUGGCCCCUGAUCGGGGUUGCGGACAGUGUCUGGUGGGUAGUUUGACUGGGGCGGUCUCCUCCUAAAGAGUAACGGAGGAGCACGAAGGUUGGCUAAUCCUGGUCGGACAUCAGGAGGUUAGUGCAAUGGCAUAAGCCAGCUUGACUGCGAGCGUGACGGCGCGAGCAGGUGCGAAAGCAGGUCAUAGUGAUCCGGUGGUUCUGAAUGGAAGGGCCAUCGCUCAACGGAUAAAAGGUACUCCGGGGAUAACAGGCUGAUACCGCCCAAGAGUUCAUAUCGACGGCGGUGUUUGGCACCUCGAUGUCGGCUCAUCACAUCCUGGGGCUGAAGUAGGUCCCAAGGGUAUGGCUGUUCGCCAUUUAAAGUGGUACGCGAGCUGGGUUUAGAACGUCGUGAGACAGUUCGGUCCCUAUCUGCCGUGGGCGCUGGAGAACUGAGGGGGGCUGCUCCUAGUACGAGAGGACCGGAGUGGACGCAUCACUGGUGUUCGGGUUGUCAUGCCAAUGGCACUGCCCGGUAGCUAAAUGCGGAAGAGAUAAGUGCUGAAAGCAUCUAAGCACGAAACUUGCCCCGAGAUGAGUUCUCCCUGACUCCUUGAGAGUCCUGAAGGAACGUUGAAGACGACGACGUUGAUAGGCCGGGUGUGUAAGCGCAGCGAUGCGUUGAGCUAACCGGUACUAAUGAACCGUGAGGCUUAACCUU
Molecule: ribosomal RNA, 2530 nt
Filed under: Escherichia coli
Lineage: Bacteria; Pseudomonadati; Pseudomonadota; Gammaproteobacteria; Enterobacterales; Enterobacteriaceae
Description: partial 23S ribosomal RNA
Rfam family: Bacterial large subunit ribosomal RNA
Source: RNAcentral